RNAcentral lists this ribosomal RNA (521 nucleotides) under Eridontomerus laticornis. RNAcentral's name for it is "LSU rRNA". It matches the Rfam family "Eukaryotic large subunit ribosomal RNA", at positions 674 to 1137 of the family's 3401-position model. Lineage: Eukaryota; Metazoa; Arthropoda; Insecta; Hymenoptera; Torymidae. The record is from RNAcentral.
UCUAACAUGUGCGCGAGUCAUUGGGAUUUUUUUAAACCUAAAGGCGCAAUGAAAGUGAAGGUCGUUCCUUAGCGUCGACCGAGGGAGGAUGGCUCGCGUCACGAUGCGAGCCCGCACUCCCGGGGCGUCUCGUGCUCAUUGCGAGCAGAGGCGCACCCAGAGCGUACACGUUGGGACCCGAAAGAUGGUGAACUAUGCCUGGUCAGGACGAAGUCAGGGGAAACCCUGAUGGAGGUCCGUAGCGAUUCUGACGUGCAAAUCGAUCGUCGGAACUGGGUAUAGGGGCGAAAGACUAAUCGAACCAUCUAGUAGCUGGUUCCCUCCGAAGUUUCCCUCAGGAUAGCUGGCACUCGCUUGAGCGAGUCUCAUCUGGUAAAGCGAAUGAUUAGAGGCCUUGGGGCCGAAACGACCUCAACCUAUUCUCAAACUUUAAAUGGGUGAGAUCUCUGGCUUGCUUGAACGUUGAAGCCACGAGAGCAAAAUUUAAAUGCGAUGGAUCAGAGUGCCAAGUGGGCCAAUUU